RNAcentral lists this ribosomal RNA (497 nucleotides) under uncultured bacterium. Its description in RNAcentral is "partial 16S ribosomal RNA". It matches the Rfam family "Bacterial small subunit ribosomal RNA", at positions 28 to 507 of the family's 1533-position model. The record is from RNAcentral.
GAUGAACGCUGGCGGCGUGCCUAAUACAUGCAAGUCGAGCGAAGAGACGAGGAGCUUGCUCCUCUGACGUUAGCGGCGGACGGGUGAGUAACACGUGGAUAACCUACCUAUAAGACUGGGAUAACUUCGGGAAACCGGAGCUAAUACCGGAUAAUAUAUUGAACCGCAGGGUUCAAUAGUGAAAGACGGUUUUGCUGUCAUUGAUAGAUGGAUCCGCGCCGCAUUAGCUAGUUGGUAAGGUAACGGCUUACCAAGGCAACGAUGCGUAGCCGACCUGAGAGGGUGAUCGGCCACCCUGGAACUGAGACACGGUCCAGACUCCUACGGGAGGCCGCAGUAGGCAAUCUUCCGCAAUGGGCGAAAGCCUGACGGAGCAACCCCGCGUGAGUGAUGAAGGUCUUCGGAUCGUAAAACUCUGUUAUUAGGGAAGAACAAAUGUGUAAGUAACUAUGCACGUCUUGACGGUACCUAAUCAGAAAGCCACGGCUAACUACGUG